GACGAACGCUGGCGGCGUGCUUAACACAUGCAAGUCGAACGGAAAGGCCCUGCUUUUGUGGGGUGCUCGAGUGGCGAGCGGGUGAGUAACACGUGAGUAACCUGCCCUUGACUUUGGGAUAACUUCAGGAAACUGGGGCUAAUACCGGAUAGGAGCUCCUGCUGCAUGGUGGGGGUUGGAAAGUUUCGGCGGUUGGGGAUGGACUCGCGGCUUAUCAGCUUGUUGGUGGGGUAGUGGCUUACCAAGGCUUUGACGGGUAGCCGACCUGAGAGGGUGACCGGCCACAUUGGGACUGAGAUACGGCCCAGACUCCUACGGGAGGCAGCAGUGGGGAAUAUUGCACAAUGGGCGGAAGCCUGAUGCAGCAACGCCGCGUGCGGGAUGACGGCCUUCGGGUUGUAAACCGCUUUCGCCUGUGACGAAGCGUGAGUGACGGUAAUGGGUAAAGAAGCACCGGCUAACUACGUG
RNAcentral lists this ribosomal RNA (468 nucleotides) under uncultured bacterium. RNAcentral's name for it is "partial 16S ribosomal RNA". It matches the Rfam family "Bacterial small subunit ribosomal RNA", at positions 28 to 507 of the family's 1533-position model. The record is from RNAcentral.